This 466-nucleotide ribosomal RNA is filed under the name uncultured Lentisphaeria bacterium. RNAcentral describes it as "bacterial SSU rRNA". It matches the Rfam family "Bacterial small subunit ribosomal RNA", at positions 338 to 795 of the family's 1533-position model. Lineage: Bacteria; Pseudomonadati; Lentisphaerota; Lentisphaeria. The record is from RNAcentral.
CCUACGGGCGGCUGCAGUCGAGAAUCAUUCGCAAUGGGCGAAAGCCUGACGGUGCGACGUCGCGUGGAGGAUGAAGGUCUUCGGAUUGUAAACUCCUGUCAUGAGGGAUAAAUGGCCAGGGCAAUAAUACUGCCUUGGAAUGAUAGUACCUCAGGAGGAAGAGACGGCUAACUCUGUGCCAGCAGCCGCGGUAAUACAGAGGUCUCAAGCGUUGUUCGGAUUUACUGGGCGUAAAGGGAGCGUAGGCGGUUUGGUAUGUCGAAUGUGAAAGCCCACAACUCAACUGUGGAAAUGCAUUCGAAACUGCCGGACUAGAGUACUGGAGAGGAGAGCGGAAUUCUUGGUGUAGCGGUGAAAUGCGUAGAUAUCAAGAGGAACACCGGUGGCGAAGGCGGCUCUCUGGACAGAUACUGACGCUGAGGCUCUAAAGUUAGGGGAGCAAACAGGAUUAGAUACCCCUGUAGUC